Molecule: ribosomal RNA, 585 nt
Filed under: uncultured bacterium
Lineage: Bacteria
Description: partial 16S ribosomal RNA
Rfam family: Bacterial small subunit ribosomal RNA
Source: RNAcentral
UGGGGAAUUUUGGACAAUGGGGGAAACCCUGAUCCAGCCAUCCCGCGUGUGCGAUGAAGGCCUUCGGGUUGUAAAGCACUUUUGGCAGGAAAGAAACGUCGCGGGUUAAUACCCCGCGAAACUGACGGUACCUGCAGAAUAAGCACCGGCUAACUACGUGCCAGCAGCCGCGGUAAUACGUAGGGUGCAAGCGUUAAUCGGAAUUACUGGGCGUAAAGCGUGCGCAGGCGGUUCGGAAAGAAAGAUGUGAAAUCCCAGAGCUUAACUUUGGAACUGCAUUUUUAACUACCGGGCUAGGGUGUGUCAGAGGGAGGUGGAAUUCCGCGUGUAGCAGCGAAAUGCGUAGAUAUGCGGAGGAACACCGAUGGCGAAGGCAGCCUCCUGGGAUAACACUGACGCUCAUGCACGAAAGCGUGGGGAGCAAACAGGAUUAGAUACCCUGGUAGUCCACGCCCUAAACGAUGUCAACUAGCUGUUGGGGCCUUCGGGCCUUGGUAGCGCAGCUAACGCGUGAAGUUGACCGCCUGGGGAGUACGGUCGCAAGAUUAAAACUCAAAUGAAUUGACGGGGUCAUAGCUGUUUCCU